GAUGAACGCUGGCGGCGUGCCUAAUACAUGCAAGUCGAGCGAACAGACGAGGAGCUUGCUCCUCUGACGUUAGCGGCGGACGGGUGAGUAACACGUGGAUAACCUACCUAUAAGACUGGGAUAACUUCGGGAAACCGGAGCUAAUACCGGAUAAUAUAUUGAACCGCAUGGUUCAAUAGUGAAAGACGAUUUUGCUGUCACUUAUAGAUUGAUCCGCGCCGCAUUAGCUAGUUGGUAAGGUAACGGCUUACCAAGGCAACGAUGCGUAGCCGACCUGAGAGGGUGAUCGGCCACACUGGAACUGAGACACGGUCCAGACUCCUACGGGAGGCAGCAGUAGGGAAUCUUCCGCAAUGGGCGAAAGCCUGACGGAGCAACGCCGCGUGAGUGAUGAAGGUCUUCGGAUCGUAAAACUCUGUUAUUAGGGAAGAACAAAUGUGUAAGUAACUAUGCACGUCUUGACGGUACCUAAUCAGAAAGCCACGGCUAACUACGUG
This 497-nucleotide ribosomal RNA is filed under the name uncultured bacterium. RNAcentral describes it as "partial 16S ribosomal RNA". It matches the Rfam family "Bacterial small subunit ribosomal RNA", at positions 28 to 507 of the family's 1533-position model. The record is from RNAcentral.